This 54-nucleotide non-coding RNA is filed under the name Lotharella globosa. The record is from RNAcentral. Lineage: Eukaryota; Cercozoa; Chlorarachniophyceae.
GUCUUCAGAUAACGCUCCCAAGGGCCGCACAGCGGGGAGCUAAAGGUUUCGGAG